This 69-nucleotide non-coding RNA is filed under the name uncultured Bulleidia sp. RNAcentral describes it as "Cyclic di-GMP-I riboswitch". It matches the Rfam family "c-di-GMP-I riboswitch aptamer", at positions 8 to 83 of the family's 87-position model. From Rfam's summary of the family: GEMM was predicted in a large-scale screen for bacterial structured RNA regulatory elements. Genes associated with GEMM are involved in a diverse array of functions, including chemotaxis regulation, signal transduction, secretion and chitin. Lineage: Bacteria; Bacillati; Bacillota; Erysipelotrichia; Erysipelotrichales; Erysipelotrichaceae. The record is from RNAcentral.
AUACAUGGGCAAACCGUGUGAAAACGCGGGACGCAAAACUACAGGGCCUGAUCAAUGGCAGCCAGCUGC